Molecule: long non-coding RNA, 209 nt
Organism: Myotis brandtii (Brandt's bat)
Lineage: Eukaryota; Metazoa; Chordata; Mammalia; Chiroptera; Vespertilionidae
Exons: 3
Source: RefSeq, a predicted model, not a curated record
UGCUAUGCAGAGUACAUGCUGCUCCCCAAGAUGCCAGAGCAAACAGGAGCAGGGGAGGCAGAGAAUGAAAAGGCACGCAUUGAUGAAAGAAGUGGAGGCUACCCGAGUUUCUAUCAACCCAGGACCCCUAGAGCAGCAGGCUGAGUACAGAAGCUGUUCCAGGUGAAAAAGCAAAGCCACUGAGGAACCCUUGACCUCUACAACACUCC